UCGUAUAAUUAAUUAUCAUCCCAAUGUUACCGGUUCCAUUCGGGUCAGUACUUUUAUAUUUUAUAAAAAAUUAAACUAAGUUAAAUCACUACCAUGAGGAGUACGAAAAGAAAAGCACUCAAUUCUUGCAUGGUAUUGAAUUUGGGGUUUUGUCUUCUUUUUCUGUGCAUGGAGUUUUCAACAUCCUAGAAAUUAUAUUCCGUACCACGUGCACCGUAAGGUGGCGCACCGAGGGGAAAGGAGUUGCUAAAUAAUAUUCACUAUUACC
Molecule: long non-coding RNA, 268 nt
Filed under: Elaeis guineensis (African oil palm)
Lineage: Eukaryota; Viridiplantae; Streptophyta; Magnoliopsida; Arecales; Arecaceae
Description: long non-coding RNA (EGUI_LNC006569)
Source: RNAcentral